Molecule: transfer RNA, 73 nt
Filed under: Tursiops truncatus (common bottlenose dolphin)
Lineage: Eukaryota; Metazoa; Chordata; Mammalia; Artiodactyla; Delphinidae
Description: tRNA-Sup (TCA) (tRNA-Sup-TCA-9-1)
Rfam family: tRNA
About the family: Transfer RNA (tRNA) molecules are approximately 80 nucleotides in length.
Source: Rfam by way of RNAcentral
UCCCUGGUGGUCCAGUGGUUAGGAUUCUGGGUUUUCAGUACUUGGGGCCCAGGUUCAAUCCCUGGUCGGGGAA